CUAUACGCAGGGGCUGUUUGGGUGGAGAAUGGGAAGCAGAUGGAAGAAGUUUUGCCAUUGAACUGGAUCGACACAGAGACCAAAGUGUAAACCGACAGGAGUGUGAAAAAUAUAAUUACACCUCAGCUCAAACCGAAGAGGAGGACACAGUCAGUCAAAAGAGAAUGAAGAAAAUAAGGACAUUUGAAGAUUAUGUUCAAGAGGAUACAGUCUUGCUUCCGGUUCCUCCGCCAAAGAUUAAGCUCUCACAUAGGGGACAAAAUGCAAGGCUGCUCGAGUUACCUGCACCCCCAGAACUGGCUAACACCGCCAUUAGACAACCAGCGAGUCCUGCAUCUUCAGACAUUUCUGGAUGUUCUCGUCCAACGCCUCACCGUUCACCCACAAGGUCUGAAUCAACAGAAGCAUUUAGUCCAGAGUCUGCCAGAUCUAUGGAUCUUGCACACCUCAGCGUGGAGUUUGAAAGCCAUCACAGUCCGGGAGCAGAAAGAGUCGGGCAUCCUCAUCCAGUGUCCCAGCUCUCAAAGGUGGGAGGGAGAAACCAUAAAGACUGCGUCCAUAAAGUGAUGGAGAGG
Long non-coding RNA from Esox lucius (northern pike), 575 nucleotides. RefSeq lists it as uncharacterized. NCBI's taxonomy places the organism in Eukaryota, Metazoa, Chordata, Actinopteri, Esociformes, Esocidae. The transcript is spliced from 7 exons. The record is from RefSeq and is a predicted model, not a curated record.